This is a long non-coding RNA of Mauremys reevesii (Reeves's turtle), 1158 nucleotides long. RefSeq lists it as uncharacterized. The transcript is spliced from 3 exons. Lineage: Eukaryota; Metazoa; Chordata; Testudines; Geoemydidae. The record is from RefSeq and is a predicted model, not a curated record.
UGUACAAGAGCUCAAUCUGUUAAAGCAAAGACGACGAUAAAUCAGCAGUCAAUACAUUUCAAGUACAUUUAACAUGGUUCAAAAGUGGAAGACCUCAUUUUCUGGAGAUUGAUCACCAGAAAUAACCAUUGUCUUCAGGCUCAAGUUCUAUUCUAAUUUGAGGCACAACUUUCACUGGAGUUCGUGGAGGGCUGAAUGCAAAAAGAAAACAAGGAGGAGUGGCAGCAUUCCUCUUCAGGGGAGCAUCCUUCCUCUCCCAGCCACAGGAGUCAGGUUCUUCACGGAGCAGAGGAAGAAGUAACCCCACUCACACCAGCCCAAACUCUCUGCAUCAUUGUACUUUAACUACUAAAGCCCCGUUGUCCUUUCCCAUUGUCAUUCAGCUGGGGGUAAAGAGAGCCAACUCCCCAGGAGAGAGACAGUGAUUUAAUAGACAUGUGACCUCAAAUGAAGCCUUGGUAGGGAAAUGCUUUAAAGGCACAAGGGCAAUAUUUUUGUUUAAGUGCAUAUAGAACAAAAAAAAAACCCAACUGAAGUAUUCUAAGGCACACGGCUUAAGAGCAACAUUAGCAGCUAUGCUUCAUUAUUUUAAUGCACACGACAACCAGAGAUUAGAGCUCCGAGUAAAUCACACGCUAGACAGCCACUUAUCCUCUCUCAAUUUUCAAGCCAGGAUUACCAGCCACAAACAAGAGACCUUGCGGAAUGUGACUAAGCAAGUCACAUCUUUGUGCGCUUUUAAAAAUUAAACGAAUGAACGAAUUAAAGAGCCGUGGAAUACUCCAAACAAGUGUAUUAUUUUCACUGGUAGUGGAGCUGGUUGCCCAGAGGACUUGCAUCCUAAAGAGCAAAACAAAAAACAAAAGUGAAAGAGACGAGGGGAAGAGAGAGCACGCAGAACACAUAACAUUUCACUAGACACAGAGCAGAGUAUGCUUGUGAAAACGGGACUCUUGGUUCUCGGAAAUGAAAGUGCCACCGGCAGAGGUUAGGGACAUCUGAAAGAUGACAAGCUCCGGGCCAGGUGCCUGCAGCGGGUAAAGAUCAUGCUGAGUCUGAGUCAAACUAGGCAGGGAGGAGGGAGUGCACCUAGGGACACCCAGUAUUAGCUACCUAGAGGUUAUUACUUUACGACGGCAGGAAGCUCCUUACAUCGUC